GAAAUGCGAUAAGUAAUGUGAAUUGCAGAAUUCAGUGAAUCAUCGAAUCCUUGAACGCACCUUGCGCUCCUUGGUAUUCCUUGGAGCAUGCCUGUUUGAGUAUCAUGAAAUCUUCAAAGUAAAUCUUUUGUUAACUCAAUUGGCUUCUACUUUGGUAUUGGAGGUCUUUGCAGCUUCACACCUGCUCCUCUUUGUUCAUUAGCUGGAUCUCAGUGUUAUGCUUGGUUCCACUCGGCGUGAUAAGUUAUCUAUCGCUGAGGACACUGUAAAAGGUGGCCAAGGUAAAUGCAGAUGAACCGCUUCUAAUAGUCCAUUGACUUGGACAAUACUUUUAUGAUCUGAUCUCAAAUCAGGUAGGACUACCCGCUGAACUUAAGC
RNAcentral lists this unclassified non-coding RNA (378 nucleotides) under plant metagenome. RNAcentral describes it as "partial contains 5.8S ribosomal RNA, internal transcribed spacer 2, and large subunit ribosomal RNA". The stretch from base 1 to 105 matches the Rfam family "5.8S ribosomal RNA", at positions 50 to 154 of the family's 154-position model. The record is from RNAcentral.